GGCUGGUCCAAGUGCAGUGGUGUUUACAGCUAAUUUAUCACAACCAGUUGCAGAUCGCUUUAUUCCUUCUCCACUCAGACUGCUUCACUUGACUAACCUUAA
Cercocebus atys (sooty mangabey) is the source of this 102-nucleotide unclassified non-coding RNA. It matches the Rfam family "Y RNA". From Rfam's summary of the family: Y RNAs are components of the Ro ribonucleoprotein particle (Ro RNP), in association with Ro60 and La proteins. NCBI's taxonomy places the organism in Eukaryota, Metazoa, Chordata, Mammalia, Primates, Cercopithecidae. The record is from Ensembl.